This 113-nucleotide ribosomal RNA is filed under the name Panthera pardus (leopard). Lineage: Eukaryota; Metazoa; Chordata; Mammalia; Carnivora; Felidae. The record is from RNAcentral.
GACAUUUGGUAGAGACUGUUGAAGCCACCUGGUCCCAGCAGACCCCAGAAGGCAGCCACAUUCACUGGUGCUGGGGCAAGGUCAUUAAGGGUGAAGCCUGGUGCCAGAUGUGU